GAUGAACGCUGGGCGGCGUGCCUAACACAUGCAAGUCGAGCGGUACAGUUUGAAGCUUCGGUGGAGAGGCUGUAUAAGCGGCGGAACGGGUGAGUAAAGCGUAGGAACGUGCCCCUCGGAGUUGGAUAGCCAUGGGAAACUGUGGGUAAACCGACAUAGACUCGGGAGAGUAAAGGCCGAAAGGCGCCGAGGGAGCGGUCUGCGUCCCAUCAGGUAGUUGUAGGGUAAAGGCCUACCAAGCCGACGACGGGUAACCGGUCUCGAGAGGAUGGCCGGUCACAAGGGCACUGAGAGACGGGCCCUACUCCUACGGGAGGCAGCAGUGGGGAUUUUGGACAAUGGGCGAAAGCCUGAUCCAGCGACGCCGCGUGGAGGACGAAGCCCUUCGGGAUGUAAACUUCUGAACUAGCCGAAUAAAAGGCCUGUGGACACACAGGAGAAGAAAGUAGGCUAGGAAAAGUCCCGGCUAACUACGUG
RNAcentral lists this ribosomal RNA (477 nucleotides) under uncultured bacterium. Its description in RNAcentral is "bacterial SSU rRNA". It matches the Rfam family "Bacterial small subunit ribosomal RNA", at positions 28 to 507 of the family's 1533-position model. The record is from RNAcentral.